Molecule: ribosomal RNA, 465 nt
Filed under: Vreelandella stevensii
Lineage: Bacteria; Pseudomonadati; Pseudomonadota; Gammaproteobacteria; Oceanospirillales; Halomonadaceae
Description: partial 16S ribosomal RNA
Rfam family: Bacterial small subunit ribosomal RNA
Source: RNAcentral
CCUACGGGCGGCAGCAGUGGGGAAUAUUGGACAAUGGGGGGAACCCUGAUCCAGCCAUGCCGCGUGUGUGAAGAAGGCCCUCGGGUUGUAAAGCACUUUCAGUGAGGAAGAACGCCUGGUGGUUAAUACCCAUCAGGAAAGACAUCACUCACAGAAGAAGCACCGGCUAACUCCGUGCCAGUAGCCGCGGUAAUACGGAGGGUGCGAGCGUUAAUCGGAAUUACUGGGCGUAAAGCGCGCGUAGGUGGCUUGAUAAGCCGGUUGUGAAAGCCCCGGGCUCAACCUGGGAACGGCAUCCGGAACUGUCAAGCUAGAGUGCAGGAGAGGAAGGUAGAAUUCCCGGUGUAGCGGUGAAAUGCGUAGAGAUCGGGAGGAAUACCAGUGGCGAAGGCGGCCUUCUGGACUGACACUGACACUGAGGUGCGAAAGCGUGGGUAGCAAACAGGAUUAGAUACCCGAGUAGUC